Long non-coding RNA from Vitis vinifera (wine grape), 891 nucleotides. RefSeq lists it as uncharacterized. NCBI's taxonomy places the organism in Eukaryota, Viridiplantae, Streptophyta, Magnoliopsida, Vitales, Vitaceae. The record is from RefSeq and is a predicted model, not a curated record. The transcript is spliced from 2 exons.
GGGUCUUCAAGCAAACAUAUCAUAGAUUCUAAAGAAUGCUUCCACCCAGAACGUGGGGAAAAACAGUUUGCUAGAAUUUUAACACGGAAAUCAAGAAAGACAUCGUGUAGGUCACGAUGAUCAUCAAUCUUCAUUCGCUUACCAUUCCCAAAUAGAAGUAUAUCUCCCAGUCCAUAAGUGCCAUAUUCAUUUGAAUCUCUAACCAAACCCACCAGCCUCUCUGUAACUGUUAACACUGCAAUAUUAGUAGGAGCACAUGUUACUGUUCUGCAUUUCAUCCUAUAGAGUGCAAAUAGUAAUGUAGCAACCGUCUUUGUUUUCCCAGUCCCAGGAGGCCCCCAUAUUUGUUUGAUACUAUUCUGAUGAUGACACUCCCUUGCAGCGAUACAGCUUAGCACUGCAGCCUUUUGAGAGUCAUUUAGAUCAAAAGAACUGACCAUGGGCUCCGAGUUUGAUACUGAAUCAGAGCUGCAGAGGGCACAUUCUUCCCCAGCCUGUAAGAGAUAGUGUCGUUGUAAAGACUCAAAGGAUGGAAUAAAGGAACCUGGUACACGAAGGAGAAAGGAAAGGUAGGAGGAAGAAUUGAGAAGAAGAGUUAAUUUUAAGGCAUAAGGAGAAGUGAAGAGAGAAAAGAAGAAGACUUGCGGUGGAAGAAUUGAAGCUGUUUUGAUGUCGUAAAAUUAAGGAAGUUAAAAACGUGAAAGAGUAGGCAUAGGGAAGACCAAUGGCCAAGUAAUGGUAUAUUUAAAACCAGCUUUGAGUGGGAGAUUCAAGUACACUUUCAUCAAGACUCUUUGGUCCAAGAGUCCUUGUAUUUUUAUUAUUUGUUUUCCCUGAUGAUGGAUUUUAUUUUAUUUUUUUAAUAUACUUUACCAUUCUUAUUUGAGACAA